RNAcentral lists this ribosomal RNA (492 nucleotides) under uncultured bacterium. RNAcentral's name for it is "partial 16S ribosomal RNA". It matches the Rfam family "Bacterial small subunit ribosomal RNA", at positions 30 to 507 of the family's 1533-position model. The record is from RNAcentral.
AGUGAACGCUGGCGGUAGGCCUAACACAUGCAAGUCGAACGGCAGCACAGUAAGAGCUUGCUCUUACGGGUGACGAGUGGAGGAAGGGGGAGGAAUACAUCGGAAUCUACUUUUUCGUGGGGGAGAACGUAGGGAAAAUUACGCUAAUACCGCACACGACCUACGGGGGAAAGCAGGAGAUCUUCGGGCCUUGCGCGAUUGAAUGAGCCGAGGUCGGAUUAGCUGGUUGGCGGGGUAAAGGCCCACCAAGGCGACGAUCGGUAGCCGGUGUGAGAGGGUGAUGAGCGACACUGGGAGUGAGACACGGCCCUGACUCCUACGGGAGGCAGCAGUGGGGAAUAUUGGCAAAUGGGCGGAAGCCUGAUCCAGCCAUGCCGGGUGGGUGAAGAAGGCCUUCGGGUUGUAAAGCCGUUUUGUUGGGAAAGAAAGGCUGCAGGAUAAACCCCCGCUGUUCUGACGGUACCUAAAGAAUAAGCACCGGCUAACUUCGUG